Molecule: ribosomal RNA, 254 nt
Filed under: uncultured bacterium
Lineage: Bacteria
Description: partial 16S ribosomal RNA
Rfam family: Bacterial small subunit ribosomal RNA
Source: RNAcentral
UACGUAGGGUGCGAGCGUUGUCCGGAAUUAUUGGGCGUAAAGAGCUCGUAGGCGGUCUGUCGCGUCGGUCGUGAAAACUUGGGGCUUAACCCUGAGCUUGCGGUCGAUACGGGCAUGACUGGAGUUCGGCAGGGGAGACUGGAAUUCCUGGUGUAGCGGUGAAAUGCGCAGAUAUCAGGAGGAACACCGGUGGCGAAGGCGCCACUCUGGGCCGAAACUGACGCUGAGGAGCGAAAGCGUGGGUAGCAAACAGG